GCCCGGGUGGUGAAAUCGGUAAACACGUCCGACUUAAAAUCGGAUGCCCAACGGCUUGCGGGUUCGAGUCCCGCCCCGGGCA
This 82-nucleotide transfer RNA is filed under the name Gemmatimonadota bacterium. Its description in RNAcentral is "tRNA-Leu". It matches the Rfam family "tRNA". Rfam says of the family: Transfer RNA (tRNA) molecules are approximately 80 nucleotides in length. Their secondary structure includes four short double-helical elements and three loops (D, anti-codon, and T loops). Further hydrogen bonds mediate the characteristic L-shaped molecular structure. tRNAs have two regions of fundamental functional importance: the anti-codon, which is responsible for specific mRNA codon recognition, and the 3' end, to which the tRNAs corresponding amino acid is attached (by aminoacyl-tRNA synthetases). tRNAs cope with the degeneracy of the genetic code in two manners: having more than one tRNA (with a specific anti-codon) for a particular amino acid; and 'wobble' base-pairing, i.e. permitting non-standard base-pairing at the 3rd anti-codon position. The record is from RNAcentral. Lineage: Bacteria; Pseudomonadati; Gemmatimonadota.